AAACCACGAAGAGAGAGAUCACCGUUAAAAGACCAAAGCAAACUAGCAAACUCAGAGAUAGAGAGACCACCGACUGAAGUCAAGAGAAGCCGAGAGAGACAAAUAGAAGUCGAGAGAACCAGAAGGAGAGAGGCAGACUGAGCUGUGAGGAGUCGAAGCACUACAACCACGUCAAACAGAUGGGUCGACCAGAUGGGUCACCCAAGUUAACCAGGAAGAAGAGGAACCACGUCAAAGGUCGAGAGAGCAAAGAGACGAACUAGAGGUCGACUAGAUGGGUCACGAGAGGAACCAGACCUAGACGUGGUAAAGAGACGAACAAACGACCCACGAAGCAAGGAGCUUCAAUUGACAACUAGGUCUGUGAGAGAGAUGGAUCGCGAACCAGUUUGAACCAACGACGCGCAAUUCUGGUGACAGAAGACCGUGAUUCUGACGAUUACCCAACAAAGCCCAAAUCAGACGACUGGAUUAGAGAGGAUCUCUGACACUCUUCAACAGACGAUGUAGGGUUUCGUGACCUACUCUGAUACCAUGUAAGAUUUCUGAAAGCUUUUCUGUAUAUUCCAUUGUAUCAAAGAUUACAAUCAGACCUUAGAUUAUAUAGCCCUAAAUCCUAAGCCAAAAAGGAAAAUACAAAUAUAAUUAUAAUUAUGUCUCUGAUAGGACUCUAACACAAUCAUGCCUCUAAUAGGACUCUAAUUUGUACAAAACACACAAUAAUAUAUUCUAUAUUCUCACAACAUCUACUUAUAAAAUUAUAUAUAUCAAUAUAACUAACUGAUCUAUUAUAUAUAUCUUCAUAAUUUGGCGAAAUGAAGUCGUUUUAUGCACUUUGGAAACAAAAGCAAACAUAGAACCGAAUGGCAGUGAAUCUCAAUGAAUCGUAGUGAAUCACAAAUUGAAUCGCAUGAUUCACUCAAUUAUUGAAACUCGUAUCAAAUCGUAUAAAUCAUAAAUCGUAUGAUUCUAACAACCAUGGUUGUGGUUAAGAAACAUACAAUUUAAUCAGGCCAAAUCUCCUAGACUUUUGGGGAUCCCACCAGAAAGUCUGUUGUUUGAUAGAUCAAGCAGACCAAGAUGUUGAAACUGUCCCAUUGUUGCUGGAAUAGAACCAGUGAAAAAAUUGUUAGAUAAGAACAGUUGUUCCAAGUACAAUAACUGACUGAUUUCUGCUGGAAUGGUUCCACUCAAAAAAUUGUAUGUCAAAUUCAGCAUCGUGAGUUGAGUAAGAUUCACCAAAGUUGGAGGAAUUGAUCCUGCAAUCCUGUUUUCUUGAAGCAACAGAGAUGUCAAGCUACCGACAAGUUGGCCAAUGGAACUAGGCAACCUUCCUCCGAGGUCCAUAUUGGCCAAUUCAAGCUUGUCUAGAAUAGUACAGUUUUUGAGGGCAGUGAAGAAAGGAACAAGAUUAGAGUUGUUAUCGUGGCUAACCAUGUCAUUAUAUGAUGCAUGAAGAUAGAGAAGUUCGGGUAGAUUUGCUACUAUCUCUGAAGGCAAUUCAGUUCACCUUUGAGAUGGUUAUUCUCCACAUCCAGAUUACACGUCAAUGACGCGUUGGUUAUCGAAAAUGGGAUUUCACCAGUGAACUGGUUAUUAUACAGAGCGCGGAACCAUAGACCCGGGCAAUUUCCAAUUUCUGUUGGAAUUUCCCAUGAGAAAGUUCAUGGAGAGGUCUACAUUUUUCAACAUUGUGCAGUUAGAGAAGAACGAAGCUGAAAUUUUACCUGUUAAUUGUUUGCCUGUAGAUUUACCAAGGCAAGUCUGGUAAGAUGAGAGAAGGAAUCUGGUAUCUGGCCUUCCAAAUUGUUCCCCUCGAGCCAGAGGCUGCUAAGGUGCUGGAGGGAGGAGAAUUCUGGCGGAAUGAUGCUAGAGAAGUUAUUGUUCACAAGCCACAGAACUCGAAGCCGAGUGAGGUUUGAAAUGAAGGGGAUAGCUUCUCCACAAGUUCGGCAUUACGGAGGAUGAGUUUUGUCACGCGAUGAUGCUUUGUAUUGCAUCUGACACCAGUGAAGUUGCACACCUGAGUGACCCUCAUUCCAGUUGGAAAGUACGGAAUAUGGGUCGGAUGAUAUGGUGUUUUUGAAUGCAAGAAGUGCAGCUCUGUCGGUUUGUAAAGAGUGGUGAGAAGGAUAGUGGCGCCUAUAGCCAGAAAUUGGUUGUCCAGCGAUUAUAACCAAAUAUUGUAGUAGAAAAAGGAACAUGGUUCUGUUGAAGAUCAUGAUGGAGAGAUUGGAUGCUCCCAAUGAUAGUUUUCCUUUAUUAGACCCUCUGUUCUGCCUUUCUCUCCAUGUGCAUACAAAUAGAACAAGACUGGCAUACUAAUGCAUGUUUCCAUGCCACACGUGUAUAUGAGAGAGAGAGAGAGAGAGAAGAGAAGGCUGAUGACUGGAGGGGCUUGUGUGAAAUAGGGGUGGUUGUUAAUGGAAGUGGGAGGAGAUCUUUUGGAAUGAGUAGUUACUGUUCAAUUUAGGCAUGAUUUGUGGAAGGACCAAAAAAAACCAAUCUCUGAUCUUUGAUGGGGUUGCAACCAUGAUGAGUAGAUUUUCAACUAAACUUAAAUGGAAGCCCACUUGGGAGAACAAGAAAAGGGUUGCUGCAACACAUUGUUGCAGGAUUUGAUGAGAGAAGAUUUGAGAAAAAAAUUUCAGUGUCCGUUUUGCUUUCCUGAACCUGAAAUGCUUUCCCAGUUUCCCUCAUUAAGGUAAUGCUUUUGAUAAUUUUGUAGUUUGUUUUAAUACAUACGGUUGGUCUUGUAUUCUUGUAUUUCAUUUUGAUACAGAUUGGGCAUCUCCUAAUUUGGCCAACAUUUCCUCUCUCUCUCUCUCUCCAAAGUUUCAUAUUUUCCUGUAUCCCAACUAGGAUUUUCUCAGAUACCUCUUUUCCCAUUUUUGUAGCUUGGUUUAGGAACUGUUGAGCACAUUGGACAUAUAGAGGCUAAUAUAUGUAAUGCAAGAUGGUAGUUUUGGUUAAUAAGAAGUCAUACCUACCUCUCCCUCUC
This is a non-coding RNA of Camellia sinensis, 3001 nucleotides long. The record is from RefSeq and is a predicted model, not a curated record. Lineage: Eukaryota; Viridiplantae; Streptophyta; Magnoliopsida; Ericales; Theaceae.